This is a long non-coding RNA of Scylla paramamosain (green mud crab), 2375 nucleotides long. RefSeq lists it as uncharacterized. Lineage: Eukaryota; Metazoa; Arthropoda; Malacostraca; Decapoda; Portunidae. The record is from RefSeq and is a predicted model, not a curated record. The transcript has 6 exons.
GUCCUUGUUUCCCAGCCACCACCAGACCCGUGGCUGGCGAGGGGCUGUGAGGACGAGACGGCGGCUGGCUAAGAUGCGCUGAUUCCUCUGGUGGGAGGUGACGCGGGGAAAUAAUGUGCGUAAAAAAGCCAAAGCUACGAGGGACAGAGGCGGGGGAAAAUGGACAGGAUGACAGAGACGGGCGUGAGGGCGGCUGGAGCACAGGUGUAGUUGCCAGCGUGGGCGUGGUUCACUGAGGUGAUGGUAAGGGCGGCUUCACUUCCCCCUGACGCCCUUCUGGUCAACGGCUGCUGUGUCACGCCCUUCCACUUCCCUUCAGAUAGUGUUGUGUUGGAAGUGAUAGCUCUCCGUGUUACUGGUGCUGAUAUUGCUGGCGAAGGUGUUAUCAUGUACCUCAUUCCAAGCGUAUUCUGCGGGGAGACUCAAGCGACGCAGGAGGAGAAAGUGGUUUAGGAAGUGCAGCCAACCUUGGUGGAGAGUGAGGACAGAAGGGUGAAGGGAGAGAGGAAGGUGGAGGAAAGAUGGAGGAAAACGUUAAAGGUUUGGAGUCUUCGCAGGGUUGAGAAAAUGUUGCUAAUUAGUCUCAAACCAGACUUUUCUUCCUCUCCGAACUCGUGAGUGACUUGAAGGAAAGGAAGGAGGAGGAAGAAACCCAAAGUAAGAGGAGAUACUAGGAGAAGGAGGAAGAGGAAGAAGGGGAAAAAAAUCUCUGAAGAGGAAAUGAAGAGAGGGAUAGCGAAGGUGUCUUUUUUUUUAUUUCACGGAAGGAAAUUCGUAUACCCAGAAGAGGGAAAAAUAUUAAAUGACGGAGGUAAUAAAAGAUGGAAAAAUUAGGAGAUGGAAAGAAAAUAAGACGAGAGGCGUGAAAGUUUGCGUUCCUUUCAAAGUACGAAGGCGUUCAGAAAGUUUUGCAAGAUUUAACAAAAGAAUCUGUAAAUUCCUAUCAUAUUUCAGUCUUUUUUUUUUUUUUUUGCAGAUCAUUUUGAUGAAGAAAAAUUUGUAUAACGUUUUUUGAUAUUCUUUCUGGUCAGGUUCCAGUUUCAAAUUCAGUUCAUCACAAUUUUAUUAAGUUCAGUGUCUGGUUACAUAUUUAUUUUUUUCUUGUCAUUUUUCUUCCAUCACAUUCUUUCAUAUUACCUUACAUUCUCCACUUCAAGUUAACAUUUUCCUUUUCCUUGCAUUUUCACAUCUUCCCUAAGGUCCACCUGCCUCAUAUUUACCUGUGUGUUUUGUUUACAAUUACUCUCCCUUCCUCUCUGUCUUGCCUUUCAUAUUUGCUCAUCUUUUAUUUAUCACACAUUACGUAAUUACAUAUAUCCCCACCUACCAAUUACUCCCUUUACUCUGUUCCUGGUUCGUGAAGUCAUCAAUAUACUUAAUUCCACCAAGUCUGCGUCUGCUCCCAUUUAGCAACCCUUCUGACUUGCUUUUUACUCUUCAUUUUUAUUGUAUUAUCAGCCUUCCUUUGUCCCUUCCUUCCCUCCUCCUCUCCCCUUCCCUUUCUUGUACUGAAGCAUCGAUCGAGGUGAUUAGAGAGGAUAAACACUGCACGUCCAUCUUAAUUACACCUGCCUGGAUCAGACUCGCAAAUGUAAGCAAAACAAACACAGGUUAGUUCCCCCUCCUCCUCCUCCUCCUCCUCUGCUCCUCUGCAUACCCCAGUUUGCUUCCUUCCCGUUUUCUUUCGCACGCCUCGCCAGGAAAGGCAAACAUAAGGUGAUGGUUUUGUUGCUACUUAUCUACUCAGUUCAGUGCGAUUUGAAGGGUCUGGUAUUUGUCAUUGUUUGUACGCGGUAGUGGUGGUGGUGGUGGUGGUGGUGGUGGUGUCUGUUUUUGUUUGUUGCUUCUUAUGCUAGUUUUGUUGUUGUUUUUGUUUUCUUUCCUUCUUUCUCUGUCUUUAUUUUUUUCUUUCUUUGGUUGUUGCUGCUGUUGUUGUAAUGUAGUUCUAUUUUUUAUUUUUUUUUUUUUUUGUUCCAUGAGAGUUGUUCACCAUUCCGCCACACAGUUAUUGUCAUUACCUAAUUGUUACAACGAGUACAUAAAAUACUUCCCAAUAAUAAAAUAUAGGAGACGAAAUUCAUGCAUCUUUUAUCCCAGCAUAACACUUCACCUUCAAAACACACACACACACACACACACACACACACACACACACACACACACACACACACACACACACACACACACACACACCUUUGAAAUCCUCCCAGCACUUUGAAUAUCGCUUGCAAUGAUUAGUAGAUACAAUUCUCUCCAGUUUCUUUUCAUUCUUGUUGAAUAAUAAACACUCACGAACAUUUUUCUCUCUGUAACCUUUUCCUAUGAUCUUUUAUUAAAUUCUUUUUUAUUCUUUCUCCUUUUCUUUUAGCUUCGUU